GAUAUCUCCCCUGUCAGAUGAAUAGUUUACAAAUAUUUUCUCCAGUUCUGCGGGUUGUUCAUUCUGUUGCUUAUUUCUUUUGUUGUGCAGAGCUUUUUAGUUUAGUUAAGUCCCAGUUGUUUAUUUUUGUUUUUGUUGCCUGUGCUUCUGAGAUCUUAGUCAUAAAUUCUUUGCCUAGUCCAAUGUCCAGGAGACUUUUCCUUAUACUAGAUAGUAGAUUUUUCCUGCAAUACUAGAUUUUCUUCUAAUAAUUUAAUAAUAGUUUUGGGUCUUAUAUGUAAGUCUUUAAUCCAUCUUGAGUUGAUUUUUGUGUCUGGUGAGAGAUAGGAGUUUAAUGUCAGUUUCUUAAUAUGUAAAGUGAGGAUAAUGAUGCUUCCCUUACAGGUUAUUAUAUGGGAUACAUGAGAUAAUAUAUACAAGCAUGCUCCUUUUCCACUUCAUGGGGAUAAGGAAAAAGGAAUCCCAUCUUGUGGAAUUGACACUGAGAGACCUCUCUAGUCCUAUUACCACCAGCCAUUUUUUUCCUCUCUGAAUUAGAUCAACAUGAGCCUCCUCUUUUAUUUGGCUGUCUUGGGUUGUGUUUUUUACAUAGAAGGGUGGGAACAUUCCCAAAUGUCACUAUGAAUUACCACAGAGAAAUGUAGUAAUAGUAACAGCUGAUGUUUAUUGAAUACGCACCAUUGGCUAGACACAGUUGUAAGGGGCUUUAUCCAUAUCACCUCAUUUAAUCCUCAUAACAACUUCAUGGAGUGGGUACUACCAUCGACAAGGAAACUGAAGCACAGAAACUUUAAAUAACUUGCCCCAGUCACACAGCUAGUAGGUCAAUAAGCCCAUAUUACAAGGAUUCUUGAGCUGGAUUCCAUGCAGCUAAUGGUUUUAGGUGUGAACUGUAUGAAAAGUAUAAGCAAGUUUUUGAUUGUUGUGUUAUGUGGGGGGCUUAUAACCUUCCUUAGAUUCUCGAAGGGGCCCAUGAUGUCCAAAAGCUUUAAAAAAAAAUGACCCUUGGAGAGCUUCUGCUAGACUGGGGUCAGGAUAAAAACAGCAAUGUUGGGUAUCCACUUGUGUGGAGCUGACUCAGCCCUGGGAAUUCUAGGAAAUUUCUUGCAUGAGGAAGGAGGUGUCUCCUUCAUGAAGGCUGAGGGAUUUGUAGGAUGAUCUCGGAGGGAUUUGAAAAGGGGAAAGUGAAUGUCUUUGCUUCCCAUUCCCUAUCUUUCACUAGAUGAAGGACAACUGUUUCCUCUGUGAUUUCCCAAGUGUGAGAAGGGAGGGUGUGACAUCAGUCUAAGGAAGAGGAAGCUUGAAAAGACUGAUAAGAGACUGGAAGGGCCCCAGGCCUCAGAAAAGCACCUAGGAGCCUUUGGUCAAAAUGCAAUACAAAUCUAUCAUUGGUGACUGACUGCAUGGAGCAUGUGCUGACCGCCUGCCACCCCUGCACUUGCUACACAGCUGGCUGGGACACCAAGCUUCUCUACCUCCCCAUGACCUACAUGUCUACCUUCCUGGCGGAUGCCAUGCUCCACUAGGUUCUCCAAGGCUGGCCAAGGGCCUGUGAAGCCAAGACUCAGGUGCAUGUUUUCAUGGAUUUGGGGUAUGCCAUAAGGGGCGAUGUAUCAUGGGGAGAGAAAUAGGUUACCCCUGUCACAGAAAUAGACCUAAGGACAAGCCAGCAAGGAGAUGUCAAUAAGGCACUGGCAGGCCCCAGGUCCCUUCCCUGGGGCAACUGAAGCCUCCUCCCCUCACCUGUGCCCUCUCUGUGGCCCUCAGUGACCGGCCCUUACUUUAAAGUCAUUGCACUUUCCCUGUUGCCAUCCCUCAAGGUCCCCCACCAUAUCCCAACACACCCCCUCCUCCAGUGGCAGGGAGUGAAAGUCACGUCUGGACUCAUCUUUCUUGUUUUCCCUCCCUUUGUUGAGCCCCUGCUGUGUGCUGGAGAGAAAUUAUCUUGAAUUACCUAGUCCUCAUCCUCAGUGUCUUCGGUGUUCUGAUGAUGUUGCAAGUGUGAACUCAACAGAGAAAGCAUUAGGAGAAAGGGGUACAGAUUCCUGGGCUCAGUACAAAUUGUAGUUACAGGGUACCGUCUCUGGUUUCUCAUUUUACUGAUUUCAGGUUAAAAGUCCAGGAUAUGGAGCCUUUAGAGAGCCCUGUGUCAUUGAACAAAUCAUGUUCAGUGUAAAAACAGGUAGUGAGGUCAGAUGUUGCAGGGCCACCGAAUUUAAAACACGUAAUGAGGCUGGGUGUGGUAGCUGACACCUGUAAUCCUAGCACUUUGGUAGGCCAAAGCGGGUGAAUUAUCUGAGCUCGGGCAUUCAAGACCAGCCUGGGCAACAUGGCGAAACCCAAACUCUAUCAGAAAUGCAAAAAUUAGCUGGGCAUGUUGGUGCAUGCCUGUAGUUCAGCUACUCAAAAGGUUGAGGUAGGAAGAUCACUUGAGCCUGGGAGGCAGAGGUUGCAGUAAGCCAAGAUGGCGCCACUGCACUCUAGCCUGGGUGGCAGAAUGAUACUCUGUCUCAAAAACAAACGAAGAAAAAAACCCCAAACAAACAAAAGACAUGCAAUGAGGAGAGGAUGGAGAAAGAUGGUGGAAUAGAAGGCUUCACAAAUCCUUCUCCACUCCCCACCCCUACCAGGACAACAAGUUAACAACUAUCUACACAGAAAAGAACACCUUCAUAGAACGAACAAUCAGGUGAGCACUCAUUUUACCUGGUUUUAAUUUCAUAUUGCUAAAAGAGGCACUGAAGAGAUAGAAAAAAACAGUCAUGAGUCACAGACACUGUCCCUCCCCAAACCCUGGCUGCAGAGGCAUGGUGCUGAGAGUGCCUCUGAGUGCUGGGGGAGGGAGAACACAGUAAUUGUGAGGCACUGACCUCAGGGCUGUCCUGUUAGAGCAGAGAGGAAAACCACACCAAACUCAGCUGAUGCCUGCCUGGGGAGGGAGCAUUUAAACCACCCCUAGCCACAGGGGAAUCGCUGAUCCCAGCAGUCCUAACUUGAGUGCCCAUGAACCUCGCCACCAAGGGCUACAACAUUCUGUGUCUCCAAGUAAACCUGAAAGGCAGUCUAUGUCAUAAGGACCGCAACUCCUAGGUGAGGCCUAGUGCAGAACUAGGCCCAGAGACAGUGGAUUAGGGGGACAUGUGACAUACUGAGACACCAGCUGGGGCAGCCAAGGGAAUGUCGGCAUCACCCCUCCCCUAACUCCAGUCUGCACAACCUGAGGCUCCAAAGGAGACCCCUUUUUUCUACUUGAGCAGAGGAGAGGGAAGAGUGGGAAGGGUUUUGUCUUGCAUCUUGGAUACCAGCUCAGCUACAGCAAGAUAGGGCAAUGAUCAGAGUCAUGAGGCCCCUGUUUCAAGUCCUAGCUCCCAUAUGACAUUACUAGACAGACCCUGGGCCAGAAGGGAAAGGACCCAAUGCUAACAGCAUUCAUCACCUGCUAUCUGAAGAGAACUUGGGCCCUGAAUAACCAGUAAUUCCUAGGUGCUAAUCAAAGGCCUUGGGUGAGCCUCUGAACCUUGAUGGCUUCAGGUGAGACUCGGGACAUUGCCAGCUAUGUUGGCUAUGGAGAGAGACUCCUGCUUGAGUAAAGCAGAGAGAAAAGUAAAGGGACUUUGUCUUACACCUUAGGUGCCAGCAAGACCACAGUGGGGUAGAGCACCAAGUGGGCUAUUGUGGUUCCUGAUUCUGGGACUUGACUCUUGGAUGACAUUUUCUGGACAUACCCUGGGCCAUUGGGAAGCCUGCUGACCUGCAGGGUGAGUUCCAGGCCAGGCAGCAUUCACCACAAGCUGAUUGAAGAGAUGUUGGGCCUUAAGGGAACAUCGAUAGUUGUCUGGCAGUACUCCCUGUGGCCUGGGGUGGUGGUGGCUGCAGGUUGAGGCUCCUCUGCCUUUGGAAAAGGAAGGGAAGAGUGGGAAGGACUGUGUCUUGUGGUUUGAGUGCCCACUCAGCUACAAUUUAGUAGAAUAUCAGGUACACUUCUAAGGUUUUUGACUCUAGUCCUUGACUCCUGCACAGCACUUCUGGACCCAUAUGGGGUAUGGGGUACCUCACCAUCCUGAAGGGAAGGGCACAGGCCUAACUGACUUUGCUACUUGCUGACUGCAGAGCCCUAGGGCCUUGAGCAAACACAGGUAGUAGCCAGGGACCGGGUACAGCAGGCCUUGGGCGAGACCCAGCACUGUGCUGGCUUCAAGUCUGAUGCAAUGCAGUCAUAGUGGUGGUGACACAGGGGUGCUUGUGUCACUCCACCCCCAGCUUUAGAUGGCUCAGAACAGAGAGAGAGAUUCUGUAUGUUUGGGAGAAAGUCAGGGAAGAGAAUGAGACUGGUAUUCCAGAGAAUUCUCUCAGAUCUUGUCCAAGACUAUCAAGGUGGUACCUCUACCAGUCUGCAAGAACCAUAGCAUUACUAGGCGUGGGGUGUCCCCUAAAGCAGAUACAACUUGGAUCACAACACCUAAGUAUUUUCAAAUAUUUGGUAAGCCUUCCCAAGAAUGACAGUUACAAAUAAGCCCAGACAGUGAAGACUACAAUAAAUACCUAAGUCUUCAAUUCCCAGACACUGAAGAACAUCUACUAACAUCAACACCAUGAAGGAAAACUUGACCUCACCAAAUGAACUAAAUAAGGGACCAGGGACCAAUCCUGGAGAAACAGAUAUGUGACCUUUCAGACAAAGAAUUCAAAAUACCUGUGUUGAGGAAACUCAAAGAAAUUCAAGAUAACACAGAGAAGAAAUUUAGAAUUCUAUCAGAUAAAUUUAAUAAAAAGAUUGAAAUAAUUAAAAAGAGUCAAGCAGAAAUUCUGGAGCUGAAAAAUGCAAUUGGCAUAUUCAAGAAUGCAGCAGAGUUCUUUUUUUAUUUUUAUUUUUUAUUUUGCUUUAAGUUCUGGGAUGUGUGUGAAUAAUGUGCAGGCUUGUUACAUAGGUAUACACGUGCCAUGGUGGUUUGCUGCACGCAUCAACCCAUCAUCUAGGUUUUAAGCCCCACAUGCAUGAGGUAUUGUCCUAAUGCUACGCCUCCCCUAGCCCCCCACCCCCUGACAGGCCAUGAUGUGUGAUGUUUCCCUCCCUGUGUCCAUGUGUUCUCAUUGUUCAACUCCCACUUAUGAGUGAGAAUAUGUGGUGUUUGGUUUUCUGUUCCCGUGUUAGUUUGCUGAGAAUGAUAGUUUCUAGUGUCAUCCAUGUCCCUGCAAAGGACAUUAACUCAUUCUUUUUUAUGGCUGUAUAGUAUUCCAUGGUGUAUAUGUGCCACAUUUUCUUUUCUUUUUUUUUUCUUUUCUUUUUUUUUUGUGACAGAAUCUGGCUCUGUCGCCCAGGCUGGAGUACAGUGGCAUGAUCUCAGCUCACUGCAAGCUCUGCCUCCUGGGUUCAUGCCAUUCUCCUGCCUCAGCCUUCCGAAUAGCUGGGACUACAGGCGCCCACCACCACGCCCAGCUAAUUUUUUGUAUUUUUAGUAGAGACGGGGUUUCACUGUGUUAGCCAGGAUGGUCUCGAUCUCCUGACCUCGUAAUCCGCCCACCUCAGCCUCCCAAAGUGUUGGGUUUACAGGCAGGAGCCACUGUGCCCAGCCAUGUGCCACGUUUUCUUUAUCCAGUCUAUCAUUGAUGGACAUUUGGGUUGGUUCCAAGUCUUUGCUAUUGUAAAUAGUGCAGUAAUAAACAUACGUGUGCAUGUG
This is a long non-coding RNA of Homo sapiens (human), 5678 nucleotides long. RefSeq lists it as uncharacterized. The record is from RefSeq and is a predicted model, not a curated record. The transcript is spliced from 2 exons. NCBI's taxonomy places the organism in Eukaryota, Metazoa, Chordata, Mammalia, Primates, Hominidae.